Molecule: unclassified non-coding RNA, 649 nt
Filed under: Hevea brasiliensis (rubber tree)
Lineage: Eukaryota; Viridiplantae; Streptophyta; Magnoliopsida; Malpighiales; Euphorbiaceae
Source: RNAcentral
GAGUUAUUGGUGCUUUAAGGCAGAAAAUAUUUCAAAGCAGUCAUCCCCGUUUUCAUUACCGAGACUGACAACAUCAGAAGAUGAGCUGGCUUGGCUUGGAGUUUUUGAAAUGGAAGACCUGUUAGUCAGCAUUUGUUCCAUGAUUGUGAAGUAUUCCCCUUCAGACUUGGCUUGGGCCAGGAGGACUUGAGCAUGUGACUUUUGAGCUAGGAAAGUUAUAGAGCUUUGAGCAGGCUGUUUGAGUAACCAUUCUUCUACAGCUCAAGUUUGUUGCACUCAAGAAGCUGAGAGAGAAGUUGUUAUUCAAAAGCCCAAAACCCUCUCUCAAAAACAAGUUUCUCAAACUGUUUUAACUCCCAAACUUAUUCCUACAAUAGAUUUAACUUUGAAACCAAAAGAACCAGUGGUUUCACAAAAUUUUUCCCAAGACUUUGGUUCAACUUUUAACUGGAUUUUAAAAGAUUCUUAUCAAAGCAUUUUAACUGUUGAAGAUGGCUUUUAUGAUCCUAACCCUCGUUCAUGUGCAGCUAAAUUUUUUGGUUUUUGGCACUAUAAGCCAUGGGAUAGAUCUAAAGAUCCAACAUACUACCAAAGCAUCUUGAUUGAAACUGGGUCAGUCAAGAUCAAACACUUCCCAGAAAACUCCCCU